RNAcentral lists this ribosomal RNA (246 nucleotides) under uncultured Lactobacillus sp. RNAcentral describes it as "partial 16S ribosomal RNA". It matches the Rfam family "Bacterial small subunit ribosomal RNA", at positions 116 to 354 of the family's 1533-position model. The record is from RNAcentral. Lineage: Bacteria; Bacillati; Bacillota; Bacilli; Lactobacillales; Lactobacillaceae.
CGUGGGUAACCUGCCCAAGAGAUCGGGAUAACACCUGGAAACAGAUGCUAAUACCGGAUAACAACAGAUGAUGCCUAUCAACUGUUUAAAAGAUGGUUCUGCUAUCACUNUUGGAUGGACCUGCGGUGCAUUAGCUAGUUGGUAGGGUAACGGCCUACCAAGGCGAUGAUGCAUAGCCGAGUUGAGAGACUGAUCGGCCACAUUGGGACUGAGACACGGCCCAAACUCCUACGGGAGGCAGCAGGG